UGCGGGGUGGAGCAGUCUGGUAGCUCGUUGGGCUCAUAACCCAAAGGUCGGCGGUUCAAAUCCGUCCCCCGCAACCA
This 77-nucleotide transfer RNA is filed under the name Nitrospirota bacterium. RNAcentral describes it as "Nitrospirae bacterium tRNA-Met". It matches the Rfam family "tRNA". Rfam says of the family: Transfer RNA (tRNA) molecules are approximately 80 nucleotides in length. Their secondary structure includes four short double-helical elements and three loops (D, anti-codon, and T loops). The record is from RNAcentral. Lineage: Bacteria; Pseudomonadati; Nitrospirota.